RNAcentral lists this ribosomal RNA (253 nucleotides) under uncultured bacterium. RNAcentral's name for it is "partial 16S ribosomal RNA". It matches the Rfam family "Bacterial small subunit ribosomal RNA", at positions 524 to 776 of the family's 1533-position model. The record is from RNAcentral.
UACGGGGGGAGCAAGCGUUGUUCGGAUCUACUGGGCGUAAAGCGUGCGCAGGCGGUUCUGAAAGUCAGCUGGGAAAGCCCCGGGCUUAACCUGGGAAUUGCGGUUGAAACUACAGGGCUAGAAUCUGGCAGAGGGGGGUGGAAUUCCACGUGUAGCAGUGAAAUGCGUAGAGAUGUGGAGGAACACCGAUGGCGAAGGCAGCCCCCUGGGCUGAGAUUGACGCUCAGGCACGAAAGCGUGGGGAGCAAACAGG